GACGAACGCUGGCGGCGUGCCUAAUACAUGCAAGUCGAGCGGAACUGGGGGAGCUUGCUCCUUCCAGUUUAGCGGCGGACGGGUGAGUAACACGUGGGCAACCUGCCCUGCAGAUCGGGAUAACUCCGGGAAACCGGUGCUAAUACCGAAUAGUUUGGCGCCUCUCCUGAGGCGCUACGGAAAGACGGUUUCGGCUGUCUCUGCAGGAUGGGCCCGCGGCGCAUUAGCUAGUUGGUGGGGUAACGGCCCACCAAGGCGACGAUGCGUAGCCGACCUGAGAGGGUGACCGGCCACACUGGGACUGAGACACGGCCCAGACGCCUACGGGAGGCAGCAGUAGGGAAUCUUCCGCAAUGGACGCAAGUCUGACGGAGCAACGCCGCGUGAGUGACGAAGGUUUUCGGAUCGUAAAACUCUGUUGUGAGGGAAGAACACGUACCAACUAACUAUUGGUACCUUGACGGUACCUCACCAGAAAGCCACGGCUAACUACGUGCCAGCCGCCGCAGUAA
This 512-nucleotide ribosomal RNA is filed under the name uncultured bacterium. RNAcentral describes it as "partial 16S ribosomal RNA". It matches the Rfam family "Bacterial small subunit ribosomal RNA", at positions 28 to 523 of the family's 1533-position model. The record is from RNAcentral.